AGGACUAUAGCUCAGUUGGUUAGAGCGCUACCUUGACAUGGUAGAGGUCCCCAGUUCGAAUCUGGGUAGUCCUA
Non-coding RNA from Oceanobacter sp., 74 nucleotides. The record is from Rfam. NCBI's taxonomy places the organism in Bacteria, Pseudomonadati, Pseudomonadota, Gammaproteobacteria, Oceanospirillales, Oceanospirillaceae.